AAUAGAUACCCCGGUAGUCCACGCCGUAAACGAUGGAUACUAGCUGUUUGAGCGCAAGUUUGAGUGGCUAAGCGAAAGUGAUAAGUAUCCCACCUGGGGAGUACGGGCGCAAGCCUGAAACUCAAAGGAAUUGACGGGGGCCCGCACAAGCGGUGGAGCAUGUGGUUUAAUUCGAUGAUACGCGAGGAACCUUACCAGGGCUUAAAUGUAGAUUGACGUAUUUGGAAACAGAUAUUUCUUCGGACAAUUUACAAGGUGCUGCAUGGUUGUCGUCAGCUCGUGCCGUGAGGUGUCAGGUUAAGUCCUAUAACGAGCGCAACCCCUGUUGUUAGUUGCCAGCGAGUAAUGUCGGGAACUCUAGCAAGACUGCCAGUGUAAACUGUGAGGAAGGUGGGGAUGACGUCAAAUCAUCACGGCCCUUACGUCCUGGGCCACACACGUGCUACAAUGGCCGGUACAGAGAGCGGCCACUUAGCGAUAAGGAGCGAAUCUAUAAAGCCGGUCACAGUUCGGAUCGGAGU
Molecule: ribosomal RNA, 521 nt
Filed under: uncultured bacterium
Lineage: Bacteria
Description: bacterial SSU rRNA
Rfam family: Bacterial small subunit ribosomal RNA
Source: RNAcentral